UUUUUUUUUUUUUUUUUUUUUUGCCCCUUCUCCAUGGUGGUGUUUGUUUCAUUGGUUGAAGAGAAGAAAAGCCGAAAAGUGGGGAACCAGCCCAAAACAUUUAAUAUUAAGGUGAGGGAUCAAAUGAGAAUAAAAAUUGAUUCAAUUAUUCAAGUGGCGAAUCAUCAAAAUUAUCAUUCUCAGAUAAUAUAUAUAGAAUGAUGACUAAAGUGUAUCACUAGAAGCCAAAGGAAUCUUACCAAUUCUCCCCACGUCUGGAGCCGUCGAAUAUUAUCGAAAAAGGACAAAAUGUUUAUCUAUGGCUUCUCGUUGCUUGUUUUUUAUUUUCGACUCCAAUAUAAUAUCGCAAUAUGCUUGGGAAAAUAAAUUUACAAGAAAUAAGUUGUCCAAACACGACACACAUCUUUUAUUAUGAGUUUACUAAGUUUGGAUGAAAAGGCAAAUUUCACACACAUGUUUUGAACGAAAUCAACCCAAAGCAUGGCAUCCAACUCUCUGUGACGUGAAGUACAAACAUAUGAAAGUGCAACAUAAAAUACCCGAGUGCUAUUUUUCCUUCCCCGCGAAACCAAUUCGUUAUUCCUAGUCCUAAGUAGCAAGUACUAUUCUCCGAUGCCUAUUCUACAUCAUGACAGUAAUAGCUAGUUUGUGAGAAAGGUUAAGUUAUGAGAGAAAAGAAAGGAUAAGAAAAAGAAGAGAAGAGAUUUUAAUGUUGUUUGGGAGUUUACGAAAGAAAAGAAGUGAUUUUGGACACAUAAGUAAAUAAAUAUUUCAUUCAACAGCUUUUUAGGGGUAGAAUGGGCAAUUUAAAAAACUUUUUGCUGCCUUUCCGUGCUUUCCUUUGCUUUCUGUCCGAUUUGGGCCGGAAAUUUUUUUAAAACUGUAGCUGUUUCUUCCUUCUUCCAAUUCCGUCGGUUUCUUUCCCUUUCCUUUCACUUAAAACUCUCAAAUGUGGGAGACGCAACCUUUCUCUUCUAUUCCUUUCUUUUCUGUUCAAAUCUCAUCUCCCAAACUAGCUAUAAGUCUUAUUCUUGGGUCCGUUUGAAUGGUUUAUUUUAAAAAAAAUGUAUAUUCAUUUUGUCCCAUUGAAAGUGUCAUACUUUUUAUUUAAUUUUAGAAUGUCUCAAAAUAUUUGUCAUGUUAAAAAAAAUUAAAACACCUUUUAAUCUUUCUUUCCAAUAUAACUAUUCUUUCUAAUCGUAUGCAUGUUAUCAUUUAAAUUUAAAAUUUGAAUUUGUGAAGGUAAGAUUGAAAAGAGAAGUACAAAAUUCACAUUGAAACCACUAUUUUUUAAAAGUUGGAUUCCCGAAAAUGACUAAAUAAUUAGGACGGAGGGAGUAUAAAAUUUUCUUGUAAUUUAUUGUAUAAAUUGUUUAAAAAAACUUUUUUGUUUUUUUUCUAGAGAAUAUGUGAAAAUUUUUUUUUUUUUUUUUCCUUUUCUCUCUUUUCUUUUUCUUUAUUUACUUUCUUCUUCUUUCUCCUUCCCUGCGUCGGCCUAUCAGUGGCACCAGCAUUGCCGCCACCCCUCCCCCUCUCCCCGUUUUAAUUUCUCUCUCUUCCCCUCCGUCUCUCCCUCAUUUUCCUCUUCUUCCUUCCUUCUCCUUCCCUUUGGCGCAAUCCUCUGAUCACAUCCUCCUCCUCUUUCCUCCCUUUUCAAUUCACCCUCUCUUUCUCCCUAAGGAAAGGAAGAAAAAAAACUUUGUAUAGUUUUAGAUAUUGUCAAGUGUGUAUUUUUAAAAAUUUGAGAGGUUUUUAAAGAGUUCCAAUAGACAAAAAAGUUACAAAAUUUUAUGUAUUAAAAGCAACCCCAGCGUUGCCAAACAUUCCAAACAGUUGUGGUUGUGGCAUACUACUGGGGCCCAAUCGCCCGAAGCUAUGGAACUAGCUCUUCGGGCGAUUGACGCGCUUAAGGGAAGCGCGGUUGCACACACGCAACAUACACUUCUAUCCCUAUGGAAUAUCUUUGCAGAGCCUUCCUUAUGUGGCGAGGAAAGUGGGGGGACUUUCUUUAAUGAGUAACCCAAGCCGCAUGCAUCCAACGGUUAUAGAUUAACUUAACUAGUCACUUGCGCCAUUGUUCCAUUAGUUAAAAGCUGAUCUAAGGUUGGAGAGUUGUCUGAGAAAAUGAGCUUUUAGAAGAAAUUAAAAUACAGAAAAUUUGGGGAAAAUAAAUAAGAGUUAAUAGCAGGUAUGAUUUAACAAUGCAAAUGACUUCUCCAAAUCUCGCCAAAUGGAACUUAAUCUUAUCGGCAAUCCAUCGCAAAUGUUUUAGUUCCAUGAAUGUAACUACUCCCAAAGCUCUUCGGUCCAAGCAUUUAAGUUCCCUUUCUUUUAAUUUCUCUUUCUAAGCACGUUAUCUUGAAAUAAAUUGUGAUCUAAAUAGCAUAUGUCUGAAAACCAGAAACAAUUAGGAGGGAAAAAGUUAGUGUUCCACGAGGAGAAGGAAGGCAACAUUAAUCGCUAGUUUGGGAGUUUAGAAUAUAAGAGAAUAUGUAAUUUAUGUACUUUUUCCGUCUCGUAAAAUUUAUCAUUUUUUUUAGAGAACGUGUAAUUUAUGUAUAAUAAUAUUAAUAGACAAGAGAAUCUUUGCUUUCCUCUUAUAAAUGGUGGAUUAUCUUUUAUUUGAUGUAUUGAUAAUUAUGAAAAAUAAGCGAUAGACAACAUAAAAGAUAAAGAUAAAAUUUCAUUAAAGAAAUAAAUUAUUUUUUGUAAUAUUACAAUUAAUUUAAAAUAAAAAAACGAUAAAUAUUUAUGCGACGGAUAGAGUUAGCAGCGUACUAAAUUGCUGGCUACAUCCAAGGAAGAAAAGCGAACGUACUCCCCAAUAAAUUAAGCCUUCAGAAUUGAGAAUCCUCUGAAUUGACGCUGGAAAGUCCAUCGGUUGGUGAAUUCAAAACAGGGUGGGUCAAAUGCUUCAAAAGAUCUGCAGUAAUGGUCCAACUAACGUCCCCACUAGCAUUCAAAAAAAAAAAAAAUCUUUUUGUAAGUUUACAUAUACUAAGUAAUUGUCGAAACAAAUAUUAUAUUAUAGCAAUACGGCCGCUAGGAUUGUAAUUGAGUCGAGUCGAGCUCGAGUAUCGCCAUACUCGAACUCGACUCGACAUACAAAUAGGGUGCUCAAGCUCGAGCGAGUAGUAUUAUUGGAGCUCGAGCUCAAAACUUGCUCGCAGUACUCGAGCUCGACUCGCAUGGGCUCGAGUCCAUGCGAGCCUUUCGAGCUCGAUUUAUUAAAUUUCAUUUUCUUGAUAAUUUUUGAGCGAAAUGACAUUAUUGUUCGUUUAAAAUUUUUAUAUGACUUGAAACAUUUCGUAAAUUCGAUAAUUCUUUUGGAUAUAAGGAUAAUUUUAUAAUAAUAAUAUAUUAAAUAAUUAAAAUUAAAAUGCUCGAUAAGGCUCGUCGAACCUUCGAACAUCGCUUCUGGAUGUUCGAACUCGAUUCAAUAGCCUUAUCGAACUGCUCGAACUCGACUCGAACUCGGUUUGAUCGAAUUCGAAUCAAGCUUUUGAGCUCGCGAGCAGCUCGGUCCGAUUACAUUCCCGCAAGAUAGUAUGAUAAAUUUGUACAGGCGUUGAAAUUUCACGAAAAGGAAGCAACGGAAGUUGGACCCCGACCGAUUAACUGCCCGUGGAAUUUCUCCAGAAUAACAGUGGACGGGAGAGGAUGGAUUAGACAUGAGCUAGUGAUUACUCCACAUUUUCCCGAGACAAACAAAUGUUUAGUUGGAUUUGAUGUUACUUACCUUUCCUCUGUCCUAAAUUCUAUACUAUAUGCGUCAGAAAUUCUUUUUUCAUUUUCCUUUUCUUUUUCUUUUGGUGGUGGUAGGAAUACGUGUCAGAAUGAUAACCAACAAUUCACUGUCAAUUGUACCUCUAGCGUUCCAGGAGAACAGAAAGAAUUAUCCUUUGUAUUUCAGAAUGUGCAGAAUUGUUCAAAUUUUCCCUACUGGGAUUAUUUAACUCUUUUUUGUUUUUCCAGUUAUUGACAUUUUUAUUGCUAACUAAAAGAAUUAUUACCGAUUCUGUUCGCUUCCAAAAUACUAGAAAAAUUGAUAUCUCAAACUCAGCUUCAAAGUCAGACCAUUCGCUUCGCAUGCUUUUCUUCCUCUUUGACUACGACCUUUUCUUCUCAUACUCCUUUGAAUCCUCCCCUCUCAUUCUCCAUCAAUUCUCUAUCCACACAUGACUCUCGACUGAAUGUCAAUACUUCAAUGUACGAUGUAGUAGUUAAUGACGGAGCUAAGAGGGCUGAUAGGGGUCAUGGCUCCUCCUAAAGCUGAUCUUCCUAAUUUUUUACAAUUUUUAUUUUGACAAUUUAUAUAUAUUUAUAAUUAAAUUUAAUAUUUAAUUUUUUCAGAUGUCAUACAUUUAAAUGUAUGGAAAUUAUUUUGAACCUAACAUAUUAAGAAAAUUUUGACUCCUCUAGAAAAAAAAAAAAAAAAUCAUAACUCCGUCACUGUUAGCAGUACGUCCUCAAAAGUUUAAUCAGGAAAGUCACAAAAUCGAGUCCUAGAAAACUUGAAGUAUAAGACAAUGAACAAAACUGUGAAGGAUGUAGCACAUAUCAUAUGCAUCGUGGAAAUCAUGGAGAAAGAAAAGGAGGAGUGGAGAGAGUUCGAGAAGGGGAAAAAAAUCAAGAAAAAAUGGAUCUCUGAGAAAUUGACUUUAUGCUUUAAAGUCGGCCUCUAUGAGUCGACCAACGAUAUUUGUUAGGUUUUAGUGAAAAUAUCAAUAUUUUAGCCCCCCCCCCCCCCCCACCCCCCAAAAAAAAAAUCAAAUAUUUGAGCAGAUGACCCUACUACAAACAAUGAAGCCGAUCUCUUUGAAAUCGAUCAACAAUGUUGUUGUUAUAGUAAAAAUGUUCCACCAUAAUGCGAGCGAUGCUUGUCAACAUAUAUAAUUGUUUUGCUUGCCAAUUCUAUCUACUUUGUUUCAUGUGAGACAUUUUUUACAAGAUAGUAAAAAGUAUAUUAGGACAACUCUUCGAGUACGGAUUCAAGGAUUUGAUCUCCUCUUGAUCAUCUUGUUGGUAAUUGGCAUACUUUCCUCCAUCAUUAUUCCCUGAAAACAUUGAAAAGUGCUGUAGCUAAUUCUAUCGGUAGAUUCGGAGUUUCCUUUUAAACAAAUUUAUUCAAAGUAAUUACUUUGUUCCCCUCUUUUGUACUACGUCAUCGAAGCAAAGAAUGUAAAAACGUCUUUAUACGUGCGCAUUUAUGCUAGCACGGAAAUAACUCAACCAAAAAAAAAAAAAUGUAUGGUACGUACCAAUUGUUGUCCGCGAUAAAGACAACCAGCCUUUACCUGUUCGUAAUACUAUUUAGCACUAAUUUUUUCAUUAAUUUUGAGUGUGUUUGGACAGUAAAUUAUUUGAGAUAAUUUUAUGAAAAAAUACCGUAGCACAUUUUUUUGAUGUGAUGUAUGUGAGAUAAAAAAGUGAUUGAAAAAUGUGUUGAUGAUGUAAUUAAAUCAGUGUGUGUAAAUAAUGUGCAUUCCAAACAUACUGAAUUGUUAGCGGUUAAAUCGAUGCAGUUGAAUUUCAUCAUACUUUUCACUUCAUAUUUUUUAUAAGAUCUUCAGUGCCUUGAAUGCGUAAAAUCCCUUCCUUGCAUGUUCUACAGCUGCAUGUUCUGAAUUUGUUAGAUUUAUCAAUAAUGGUGAGAACUAGUGCUACAACAAAACAUUGUGCAAAAGGGCUGGCAAUUACAUAAACUUUUAAAAAUCCAUUUAACUUAUUUAAUAAUUGCAAUGAGUGCAAAGGAAUAAAACCCCGCAAGUUGGUGAUCCUAUCGAACUUUAACGACGCAAAAGAAUGAGUUUUUUAAUCAUAUUUUUAUAUUUUCAAUUAACUUUUGUAUUCAUAUAUUUUAAAACAAAUAUUACAUUGAUAUUUUAAAACAAAUAUUCAAAUAAUCAUCUAUUCAAAACACAUUCGACUCUCAAAAAGGGCAAAAAAAAAUCUCUGUGUCCUGCCAACUUGACUGCAACUGUACAUCCGUGUAACCGGCUAUAGUCGGUAAACCAAGUUGAACUUGAACGCAUUGUCAAAUCGGAAGGAAUUGUGACGGCCAACGUCACGGGACAACUGAAUCCUGAUCUUUUUGUGCCUUUUUUCAUUUUAAUUCUCGGCGCCGUUAAUGUAGGAGUUCGUGACCCUCGCCUGCAGUUGUCUGAACCGUUGGAUCCUAUGAUCUUUUCAACAGAUUGCAUGUCAGUGCACGUGUCCUCUCACGAUUUGAGAGUUUGCCCUCCGCUUCGUAGUUGAACAGAGCACGUGAUCCAAAUUGUACUACUGCUGCCGCCGCCGUCGGGUAUGCGAAAUGAUAUCAUUGCCAUUUUUCGCGUCUUUGAAUUUCUAUUACGUCAAUUUAAUACACUAAAAAGUUCGGAAGGCACGAAAUUUGACCUGUUUUCCAUUUGUGAUAUACUCCCAAACUUCUUACUAUUAUUUAAAAAUUUUGUACACCUUUCACUUUUGUUUGGAAAACGAUUUUUCACUAAAAAAAUCUAUACGUUUUUUGCAAAUAUAUUUUUGAAUUAUUUUUUAUCUCACAUAUAUCAAUUCGUUACAAUACAAUUUUUUACAAAAAUUCCAGAAAAUUACUAUCCAAACACGACCUAAUAAAUUUUUUUAAACUUGUUUUUCGUUUGCAAUAUACACCCAGACUUAUUAGUAUUUAAAAAUUUCUACACCUUACAGUUUGUGAAGCACUUGUUUUUCGUUUGUGACAUACAUAUACACCCAAACUUAUUAAUAUUAAAAAUUUUGUACACCUUGCAAUUUAUGAAAACUGAUUUUUUGUUAACUUGUUUUUCGUUUGUGAUUAACCUUAGUUAGGUUUCUAAGGAGUGCAGCAGAUGUAAUUAUUGGCUGAUGGGAGCACGUGCCUCGCUGGUCUAAAGAAAACACCUACAAUAAGUUUGAAAUCUGCUAAGGAUUAUAGUUUGGCAGAGUACUGGUGGUUUGAGAAUAUGUGGAGCUUAGCUCGAUCAUAAACAAACCCAAUGUGGCAUGAGUGUGUUUGGAUAGUAGAUUUUUUGAGAAUUUUUUUGAAAAAUACUGCAACAUUUUUUUUUAAAAUAUGAUAUAUGUGAGAUAAAGAAAUUGUUGAAAAAUAUAUUGUUGAUACAGGCAAAUAAAUUUGAUAAAUAAAACACUAUCCAACUUUAUAAUGUCAUAUGGCAAAUUAAGUGACUUGGCCAUGUGAUAAAUGUGGAUUCGUUAACAUUAGAACGAAUAGAAUUUCUCGACUCAAAAAUUCAGAUUUGUCUUGUAAUAAAUUACGUGUUUGAAUACCAAAAGCUUUUCCAAAUAUUAUUUUAAUUGUAUCACAAACACGUGUUUCCAUAAAUCCAUAUUAUAGUCUACUUUCCAACUGAAAAAUAUAAUUGACUUAUAACUUCUCAAAAAUACCCUUAUUUAUUGUACUUUGUUAUCAGUGAGUAUAACAUACCUUGUUCAUUGAUUACUUGGAUUUAUACCUUGUGCAGUACAACUUUUCAUAGUAUUUUGUUGUUCUAAUUUUUGUAAAGAUAUAGUGACUAGUUAUACUCUCAAUAUCAAUGUAAGGAUAUUUUAGAAAAACAGUAAAUCAAAUUUACUCUUUCAAUAAAAUUACUAAUUUUUUAAAUUUGCAUGAAAAAAAGGACUAAGGUGAUUAAAGUGGAAUGGAGGGAAUAAGAUAUAAUGCGAUAAAAAUUAUCGAAGUUACUUAUCCAGACACAUUAUUGUAAUUCGGAAGAGAAAAAGUGUGAAAGGAAACCCGGGAACUCUGUACCGGAUUAUCCGUGGCAUCAUUCGACCCACUUCAUCAAAUGCACUCGAGCAACUCUAGCCGAUGGACUAAAAGUGAAUGUUUUGAAGGCCUGAAACAAAGCCCAUAAACCAUUAUACUAUCAGGCAGGCCUAAUUUCAUCAGUUGGCAUGGACGUCCACAGGCUACUCAUCAACGCUGACUUAAUUUCAGUGGGGCCGUAUACUGUACAGACAAAUAAAUUAUAAUGCAAUUUCGGUUUUGAAAAACAAAAUUUAAUUGCACUAGUUGUUAUAUAUCCAAUAAUUACAGUGCGUCUAUUGUCAGUGUAUAAAAAAAAUCAAUCCAAAUUUUAAAAGUUAUUAAAAUUGUUCCUUAAUUGUCUUCUUAAGACUUGUAAAAUUAUAGUUAAUUGCGGGUCUCAUUUCAAGAAUAAAAUAUUUCAAAGUUUAUAAUUUAAAAAAAAAGAGUGAUCUUCUUCUACCUCUAAAUUUAAGCACAGUAUAAAAUUGAAAGCACAUUAAACUCAGGGGAAAAAAAGAAGAUGUAUAUACAUACAUCCAUGAGCUGUAACUAUACUAGUAUCACCGAGUUUCAUGUCCAGUGGAGAUUGAUCUAACUGCAUGAUCAAUUUGACGAUCUAACUGCAUGAUCUAACUGCUCCGUAAGUGUGGUUGUUACGGAGCUCAUGAUCGAUUGCGUCCGUUGCCGAUUAGGUUCAGAGAAUCAAUUUGACGUGGGCAGAAGAAGCAAACGGCAUCGUAGCAUGAACAUACCUAGACGGAAACUUCAAAAAGAAAAUAAAAGUGAGAUGAGACUUUCAGGGAAAAAAAAAAAUAUGAGACGCUGCCCCAUGACAAAGAAAUUUCACGAAAAAAGUAAGUAAAAAUUGGGGGAUGUACGGUGGAUGGUGCAGUGAGAGGGUAACUGUCUCUUUUUCUCUGGGGUAGAGUAACAGAAUAAGAGUAAUCGGCGGGUGGUGCAUUUGCGCGUUUAUGUCACUGUGGAUGUGACACUAAUGGGUGCAACCUUUGAAUUGAGAGAGCCAACUCUGAAUUUUUGAUUUGAUGCAGUGCGUGUUCGCAGGAAGCCAAAUGCAGACCACUCAUCCUACCAACCACGACACACUUUUUUUUUGUCAGCACAGGGUGUUCGGAUCAAUCUUUACGGGCUACCCUGCGGAGGCAAAAAUCAGCCACGUAAAGUGACAAGUUGUGGGAAGCAGGGGUUGAACCCCUGACCUCCAGCAUCUCCAAAGAAGGGGAUGACCACUGGACUAAAGCCACACCCUUUUCUUUUCCGUUUCCCCUUUUUUAACCCAGAAAUCUCAAUAAAAAAUCUUAAGACUUCCUGGAGUUGAGGCCAAUGACGGCCGGACCAGGACUUUUAGGUUAAGGUAGCGAGUAGUCAAACAUGUAGUAAAAAAAUGUUAUAACAAAUGAAUUAUAACAAACUUAAAAUGAAAGCUUGAUAGAGGAUAACUAGUGAUAAGGUGUUUUUAGUUGUACAAAAGCAAAUAUAAACACAUUAUUGUAUUUUAUGAGUGGUACUGUAGAUUUCAAAAAUAAAAAUAGUUUUUCAAAAAAAAAAAAGUAGUAAUUCAAACAAAUUGUCCGUUAUUAAGGUUUGGUGAGGUGGAAAGUCAAACCUUGCCUCUUAGAUAAAUUAGGAGUGGUGGUUCAGUCCCCACUUGUCUCGCCCAGCUGGAUCUCUCCUUAGAUAAAUUAGGAUAAAGUAAAAUAUAGAUAAAAUAACGUUGAUGAAUGACAGAAAAGAAAAACAGAAUGCCCGUUAUUCACUCAAGGCAGAAGUUCCCUUCUUUUCUGAUUCUGCGUUAUCAACUAGCGGAGAACAUGAAAAUUCCAGUUGUAAUUUGCUAAUACCAUUUCGUUUUGGAGGCAAAGGGCCGUAUAACCAGCGCUUUCUGUUUAAAAUGGGGGAAAUGAAUCAGUUAGAGGAAGGUGGCAUACGGAAAAACGCAACUCAGAUGUUUUGUUUUUCGACAGACCCCAAAAAAAUAAAAAAAAAAAAUUGUGAACGUUAAGUACUCUUGAUCCAACUAAUUCCUUUGGCAUUUUGGUUUUGGUAAUUGCCUCACUUGGUUGCAGUAGAAUUAGAGAAGUAAAAACUUGACAAUCUCUACUACUCGGUACUUCCACUCUCCAGUCUCUCUUCACUCUUGCUUGACCCAUUCAUUCACAUUCACCUGCUGCGCUUCCUCCGCUCCGCCGUCGUCCUGCAGCUCUCUGUUCAUUUUUUUUGUUAAAAAAAAAAAUCUUCAGCUAAAUUAGUAGGGGGGAAAAAAAAUCACUCCAUAGGUAUGGAGAGGGCGCCGUUGCUGAGCGGAAGCUAUUACGAUGGAGGAGAAGAGCUGGUGGGGCCAGACGGCGAAUACCGGCAGGCGAGAGGGCUGAAGGAAUGGUGGUACGUUUUCCGGAUCGAAACGGUGAAGCUGUGGGCAUUAGGGCUGCCCAUAGCGUUGAACAUCAUCUGCCAGUAUGGGAUGAAUGCGGCGACCACAAUGUACGUUGGACACCUGGGAGACGUGGAGCUCUCCGCUAUCUCUAUUUCCCUCUCCGUCAUCUCUACCUUCUCUUUCGGCUUCUUGGUUAGCUGCUCAGCUUAGCUCCCUUCGCACCACUCCCACACACACACACACACACACUCUCUCUCUCUCUCUCUGCCCGUCAGUUGUAGAACUACUACAGGUGUCACCGAAUUUGCAUGUAGUACUACUACUUCUUAGAUGUCUGUAUACAGUAUUCGUACGGGCACGUGUGUGUGUAUCGGCAAGGCUCCUUUUUCGAGUUGUUUUAGUCAGGCACUAGUUGCUGGCAACCAAAUCUAAGGAUUUCUGUUGCGCAGGAGUGCCCAGUUUGAUCGUCUUGUUUGUCUUUUGCGAAAAUAUGACUUAAUAUGCAUUUCUAAAGGAAAAAAAAAUGCAUUUCCAAAAAAAAAAGAGAAGCAUUUCUAAAGUUGUUCCUCGGGGGGAAGCGAGAGCGGCUCAAAUUGUUGUACUUUAUCCACUUGAUGCAUUUCUCCUUUUCUUCUUUUUUUUUCGAUUUAAUUUUGCUUAUUUUUUCUUCCAUACCCAUAUUCUUGUUGCAUUCCUGUACAUUUUCAGAGGAAAUUGACUUUUAUUUACCUUCUCAAGUUUUUUUUGGAAAAAAUUACCCUACCACAUCCACAAAUCGACGAGCUGCACAGAGUAAUUUGAGCUUUGUGAGUAGUAGUACUUCAGCGACAAAUUAAGGGCGUGCCCCGUUCUCAGAUUCUUAUUUUUUUUUUUAGUAUUUAAUCAAAAAAAAAAUAAAACAGGGAGUGAGAGAGAGAGAGAGAGAGAGAGUCCAAGGCAGCACCAUUUAUUGUGUUUGUAAUUCUUGAUAAAUAGCAGAUAUGUAUGUAAUUCUUGAUAGAUAGUUUGUCUCAUCAAAUCCAUACAAAUUUACUCGUAGCUUGGGAUGGGGAGUGCUUUAGAGACGCUAUGCGGUCAAGCAUUCGGUGCCAGGCAAGUUCAUAUGCUCGGUGUUUACAUGCAGCGGUCCAUGAUUAUUCUGUUUGUCACCUCUGUCAUCCUUUUGCCGCUCUACAUAUUUGCUACCCCACUCCUCAAGCUCCUUGGACAGCAGGAACAGAUCGCAGAUCCUGCAGGAAAAUAUUCCAUCCUCAUUAUCCCUCAGCUAUUUUCCCUGGUUGUUACUUUCCCAACCCAAAAAUUUCUUCAAGCCCAAAGCAACGUGGCUAUCACAGCAUACAUUGGAUUAGUUGCUUUGCUCCUUCAUGUUCUUUUGCUCUGGCUUUUCAUCUAUGUGCUUGGCUGGGGAAUCACUGGAGCAGCCGUGGCAUUUGACAUUUCAAACUGGGCUAUUGCAAUUGCUCAAUUCUUUUACGUCAUCGGUUGGUGUAAAGAUGGGUGGAAGGGAUGGUCAAUUUCCGCAUUCAGGGACAUAUGGUCAUUUGUUAGGCUCUCUCUUGCUUCAGCAGUUAUGCUUUGUCUGGAGAUCUGGUACAUGAUGAGUAUCAACAUCCUCACAGGUCACCUUCAUAAUGCCGUGCUUGCAGUUGGUUCCCUAAGCAUUUGGUGAGUUUUAACAAGCAUUCUAGAUGGUGCAUACAUAUUAAUUAGUUGAUGUUCCAGUAGAUUCUGCAACGAACUGCUUUAGCAGCCUGUUCAUGAUUAUCCUAUGUGGCUCUGUCACUGAACUAACUUCUCUGAUCCUCCUUUACUUUUGGCAAUUUUAACGUCUUAUCUGAUGUUUUACCUAAUUUUAUUUCUUUAUCUUUCAGCAUGAGCCUCAAUGGAAUUGAAGCCAUGAUAUUCAUUGGAGUAAAUGCUGCAAUAAGGUAACAUGGCACACGUUACUCUGGAUUUUUCCAUUUCUAGAUAUCUUUUGUAGAACUGGCAGAUAUUCAAGACGAGCUUAUGAUUUACAGUACGUAUUCAACCUUUCUUUUACGAGGUCGCAUUGUCCCUUCGUUGUUCAAAGUCAAUCUUGAGAAUUGCUAUUCUUUUUCUCUCAGCUUCUUGAAGAAUCUCCAUGACAGUACUCUCAUGUCAAACUGUUUUAUUUAUCGUAAUCAGAUGUCUAGGACCGUAUUUGGUUUUUGGCGAAUUGGACUUGUAUGUGUAAUGUGUCUGUGGUCUUUUGCUGGGUAGUUUUGUGUGGCCUUUUUGCUGGGCGGUUUUGAGUGGUGGUAACUGGAGGAUGCUAGGGUCCAAUAUAUCUGUUGCUUUUAGUACCCAAAUUGUGUUUUCGCAUUUCACCUUCAGGUAGAUUUCAGUGCAAAUCUGAUGUCAUGGACAGAGCUGUAUAGAUCACCUUACAGACAGUUUUGUUUGCUUCCUUUUGCCUUUUCAUUUGCAGUGUUCGAGUCUCAAAUGAGCUUGGGCUUGGACAUCCAAGAGCAGCCAAGUAUUCAGUGUAUGUUACAGUCUCUCAGUCCCUCCUGAUAGGGAUUAUUUCCAUGGUGGUUGUUCUCCUGGCCAGAAAUCACUUUGCUAUAAUUUUCACAAAUAGCACGGAUAUGCAAAAAGCUGUUGCCAACCUUGCUGACCUUCUUUCAAUAACAAUGGUUCUCAACAGCGUUCAGCCAGUAAUAUCAGGUAUUUCGUUAAUUUGGAUCACUAUACUCCCAUCUACACUUGUGCAUCAGUUUUCUAUCAUACUCCUUGCCCUGUCUUCAACACCACCAUUGAGCAAAGAAUAUUAUAAUCUUCUGCAGGCGUUGCAGUCGGAGGAGGAUGGCAAGCUUUGGUGGCUUAUAUCAAUUUAGGUUGUUAUUAUGUAUUUGGGCUUCCUCUAGGAUUCGUUCUUGGGUAUGUGGCGAAUCUAGGAGUUAAGGUACAUAAAUUUCGAAUCUCUGAUUAAAAAUGCUAGUAAAAAUUUCUGUCUUGCCAACUUUCUACUGUUCAAGUACCUUCUUAACAGUCCCUAGUGGCAACUGUAGUAGCUUUUCCAAUGAUGAUUGCAGGGUAUCUGGGGGGGAAUGAUAGCUGGAAUUGGCCUGCAGACAUUGCUGCUUUUAGUAGUACUUUACAAGACCAACUGGAACGACGAGGUACAGGAAAUGGCAACAUCUCACAAUUAAUAGCGCCACACUUCAGAGGAGAUUCACUCCAAAUUUCUAGGCUAGAUCCACUUUAUUUGCUCAUAUAAAGUUCAAAAACUGUACUUUCAGGUUGACCAGACAUCAAAGCGCAUGCGAGAAUGGGGAGGCCAAGGCGUUGACAGUGAAAAAUUGCAGAAUAAUCAACCUCCAUUUGGAAACGGUCAAACUUGAAUGAGGGCUCUCUUAUUUUCAAUAGAAGGAUUGAUAACAACGCCAUCAUCUCGAGUGUACUCUUCCGCCCUUUCCUGUUCCUAAUUCCUGAACGGCAAACAUGCACGGCAUAAUCUCGCCGCUUUGGAUCUUAUUCAGCAAAAGUUAGCGAACCCUAAGAUUGUAAGAGAACCAUUUGACAUUAUAUUAGAUUUAAAAAAAUUACUCUACCGAUGACAUUAUUGUAUUAGAAUAAAAUUACAGACAUUAUUUCAGAAUAUAAUUUGCAAACAAUUAAUUACAACCGCCCAUAUACCAGAAUGGUGCUAAAUACUGAUUAAGCCUGCCUAACAGCCCAAAACCACAGAGAAGCGUAUAAACUUUCAUCACCAUCAAACCGCUCAAAAUGGGUUCGUACCCAGCAAAAACAAUGGAUCUUUGUCCGGCCACCUAUUUCAUGUCGUCUAAAUGCUCUUCGACACACCAUUAACUUACGAUGGACAAGUGACUACAGAAAUUCGUUCCAUCAGUUGAACGUACAAAUAACGCUAACCAAAGUAGAAGUGCAGCCUAGUUAGAGAAAAGUAAUGCACAACUUGAACUCAAGGUAAUAUAAUUGAAUUCGAGUUCAACUUCAAUUCAUCUUUUACUCGAACUAGAAUUUAAUUAAAUCUAGUCAAGUCCAAUUAAAUUUAAUCAAGUCUAUUCGAAUAUAAUCUAAUUCACGUUGUCCAAUUAAAACAUAUGAUUUUAAAUAAAAAACAUAAUUGACACUUCACAAUAAUAAAUAUAAAAAAUUUAAAAAUAUAUAUUAAAAAAUGCUCUAUUAAGCUUCGAGUACGAGAAUUUGAGAGUCGAGAUCAACUCGUGAGCUCAAACGAGUAGCUAACGAGUUCAAUCAAUGUGAGCUAGACUCUAAACUAAAGUACGUGAAUUUACUGUACAGUAGAUGAUGCUCAUCUACUGACGGACUAGAUGAUCAAAAAGGAAAAUAGCAUCCGGAAGAGAAUUUUGCAUGAAUAGUCCAAAGACAUAUGCCCCAACACAAGAACCAAAAAGCAACUAAUUAAGUAGAUUAAUAUAACUAAUAAGCAUGUAGCAAAAUAUAUAUGACAAAGCCCCUCCUACAAUUACAGGAGUGUCAAACAAAAUCAUCCAAAAACGCUAAAACACAAAUAGAUUUUGAGUAGAAAAAAGCCCCUAGGCAGCAGCAGCUUUUUGUUUUGUUGGAACUCGGUAAGCACCAACAACACAAGCAUGGUCUCGCUCAAAUGGUUCGAGUGUAACUUGCUCAAUAGGCUUAAAUUGGUCUGCUUUCAGCUUCUUCACUUCUUGGGCAAAUACAGCCUCGGCAGGAGCAGUUGAAUCAAUACAGUUUGCCUGUACAUUUUAAGAAUUGUCAGGCCUGAUGAUCUCUAUUUUGCAGAAGGAAAUUUCAAAUUACCGGGAAGAAAGGAAAGAGAGUUAGUUUAUGUUUGCACAGAAUUACAAAUAUCUGAAAGCAAAAUAUUGAGCACCAUCAGGUAAUAUAGAUAGACAAAUAUCCAAAGUAAGAUGGGAUUGGCAAUAAUCCAUACUAUUUUUUUGCUCUAAUGAUAUCUCACUUCGAAAAUAAACAGCAGUAUACUACAAACCUUGAUGGAAAUCAUGAAAUGGCCUCCAGCUUUCAGGAAGUAAGAUGCAUUUAGUGCCAAAAUUCUUGCCUGCAAAUAAAGAAAUUAGCAAAACUGCAGAGUAGUGAACAGCAAGACCAAAGCAAAGGUUGGGAACAAUACAAUGCCAAGGAAUGCAAAGAACAAUUAUAUUGUAGGCUAACCAACACUUGUUCUUAAGGGCAAUAUUAAUAUUGUAGGCUUUACUUAAAUAAAAAGAUAAAAGCACUUGUCACCCUACAGCAAAUCUUUACUGGUUUUGGAAGAAAAUGUUUAAUAGUACAGGGGAUAGGAAUUAUGAAAACUUCCGAAGACGUCUUUGUCAAACAAAAAGAAAGCUUAUAUAAAAAAACAAGUAUAUUUUCAGUAGUACAUAAGCAUCAGAAACUCGGCUUGUCCAUCAUCCCUGAUGUCUUGAAGGGGAAUCCGAGUAACUCAUCAUCAGCUGAUAGUAUAUCAAAAACAAAUAACAAAUCUGAAAGAACAAAUCAUGGGAACCAAAUCCCCAAACAUGAAGAGAUUGAAGAGCAAGAGCUAAGAAAAUUCAAGAAUAAUAUUUAUAAUCAAAGAAACUCUAGGAUGCCCAUGUUUGAAGUCUGCAUGUGCUCCAUAGAAAUGGUCCCAAAACACAUUCGACACAAUCCGGCAUGCAAAAACAAAUUCAUUUUUUUUUUUGAAAUCUAAAAGAGGUGAAAUAUUAAAAACAUGUACGUUAACAUAAGAGGUGACAAAACAUCAACUAACAAGCCAAUAACCUGAUCAGGCUGAGCAACAUCAGAAAAUAUCACAUCAACUAUUCCUACAAGCAUUCUGUAUUUUGCUGGAUGUCUAGCAUCCUCGAUGAUGGGUAUUACAUUCGUUCGCUUUUUUGCCAUGUUCACCAAAUCCCUGCCACUCCUGUGGGAAAAUUCCACAGCAUACACCAUUCCCUCCUAACAGGUUGAGGAAGAAAAAGAAAUCCAAUAAGUGCAACCAAGACAUAAUUCCGAACAUAUGCUUUUGGUGACAACAGUUACUUACAGGGCCAACGACAUCAGAGACGUGAGAUACUGUGGUUCCUGAAGCAGCUCCAAGGUAGAGUACACGGGCACCAGGUUUCUUUAUGUCAAAAAAUUAUGAUAAAAGCUCAGAAACAUUGAAACUCAACCCUCAGACAGAUGAUAUCUCUAGCUCAUCGUAAAAACUGGAACUGAUAAUAACAGCACUUAGUGCAGACUUACAAUCCAGACGUCGUCGACUCCGCCAAGGAUGGCCGCAGCCAACUUAGAACGGAAUGGAUUCCAUACUCUGUAUUCGACUUUUGACCCAUCUUCGUUCUGAUAAGAAAGGCAAUCCGUCAACCAGUCGUACUGAUUACACCAGCCUACUUUACGAAUCAAUAAACACACGCAACUUUGCCAAUCUCAACAAAUCAAUCAGUUCUUCCAAGCGGAUGGGAAAAAUGACAAAUGUAUAAGAAGUUUUCAAUCCUAGGGCACGCAUACUAAGCAAUCAAUGCGGCACAAAAUACUAGCUUCGCAAGCAUCAUAGUAACUAUAAAAGCAGAACAUGAAAGAGACUGAUCAAUAAAUUGACCAAUGCUAACAACUAAAUUACAUCUGUCCGUGACACCAAUUGUAACAAAUCAAAAGGUGGGCGGGGUGAAGAGAAAAAGGAAACGGCGGCCCAUCAUUUACCUGAACAGAGAUUCUCUUCUCAUUGUAGACAGCUUCACCAGGGACCAUAUUCUUGGUCACAAGAGCAUCUUCUUUACCUUUGGCUAUAAAUACUCCCGCAUGCCUGUGAGGCUCCACCACCACUCUACUCCCUCCCUUCAUCCCUCCUCCGCGACCCCUGCCGCCGCCUCUUCCGCCUCCUCUUCCGCCGGCACCUCUUCCUCCACCGUACUUCAUCGCGCUGCCACCUCUCCCACCAAAUCCACCUCUACCACCACCUCUCCCUCCUCCUCUCCCUCCAUCGCCGCCUCGACCACCCCUGAAUCCACCUCCGCCACCACGCCCUGUAAAAGCAAAAUAAAUAAAAAAAGCACGAACACAACACUCAUUCGAAUUUAUGGAAUCAGAUAAACAUACCUCCUCUAGCAACCAUGGCUGCGGCUAAUGUUUUUUGAGUGUUUAGGUUAGGGUUUUAAGGUGCUUAUGUUAGGGUCUUAAGGUUAGGCUACCAAGACCUUUUUUUUUUCGAGCAUUUUAGGGUUUUAAGAUAAUUUAUAGGGGUCGGCCGUGGGUUCGACGGGGAGAGGUUUUGAAAGCCCUAAGUUAGGGUUUAGGGAUAAUUUCAGAAACCUCCAUUGAGGUUUCUAACAAUUUCACUGUCCUCCCCUGAAUUUUUAGCAAUAUCACUUACCUCCCCUAUAAGUCAUUUGGGGUCCAAUACUUACUCAUGGAUGAUCAAAUAACUUUACUAUCCUUAUAAUUUAGGGAAAUAUUACGUAUUUAUAUGGAGAGAAACAAUUUAAGUCACUUCGUUCUAAAUUAACCAUGAUUUUGAAUAUAAAAAAAUUUAAAAAUCUUAAAUACUAAAAUUUAUAACGAUAAUUGUUAAAAUUUUAAAACUUUUUUCUAUAUUUUAGUAGUUCUUGUAAUUUCCUUCUCCUAAAAAAAUAUUAAAAUUCCUAUUUAAAUAUUAUUAUUCCAUAAAUUUUUCAUGAAAAUAACAAGAUGCAUAUAAAAAUACACAAAAAGAAAGUAAAUGAUUAAAAUAUGUUUACAAUUAUAUUUUUUUAAGUUAUGGAUAAGAUAUAACUACAUAUAAUUUAGUCUUUCCUUUCUUUUCCAAAAUAUUUGGUGUUUUUUUUUCUUUUCUUUGUAUAAGUAAUCCAAACAAGAUAGCUAGAAAAAAUCUACUUUGAUUCAUUUGUUUUUUCAUUAAAAUCAUACUCUUUUAUUAAUCUGAACGUUGCUUGAGAGUUGUUUUUUUUAAUUACAAAUGAUGGAAAUUUCUUGUUAAUCAUAUGAAAUAAUGGAUCCAGUAAGUUAAAGAAAUAAUUCAAAAAAAACAACAUAUUUUAGCAUAUUCUAUAUUUUUUACCAUUAGCCAUCUAUUGUGAUUUUUUUUUUUUUUGUUAAAAAGGCCAUACUUUGUCUUGUUUAAAUCCUUUUCAAAAUCUUUCAUAUUCUGAUACUAACAGCUAGUUUGCAUGGUUAGGUUAGAAAAGAAAAAAUAGGAAAUGUUAAGUUAUAAAAGAAAAGAAAAGAAAGGAAGAGAAGAUAUUUCAAUAUUAUUUGCGAGAUAUGGUAGAAAAAAGGAUGAUUUUGGAUAUAUAUAUAUGUGUGUGUGUGUCAAUAAAAAUUUGUUCAAUACACAUUUGAGAAUAAAAUUGACAUUUAGGAAAAUCUUAUUAGGCAUUCUUAACUUUUUCGAUACUUUCCGCCUCCAUUUGGGCGGAAAAACUUUGGUAACCAUAACAGUAGGAAUUCAUCCGUCCAAAAGAAAAAGUGUCUUUUCUAUUACAUUUUUUUCUUUUCUCAUCAAAUCACAACUCCCAAACUAGUUAUAAUAAUUUAGAAAUUUUUGCAUAAAUCUUGAUUCCAAAUUAACAAGUUUUCCUCUCUAAUACUUUGAUUUUGCUAUUUUAUGUAGUGCUAUGAAAAAUAGUCAUUGUUACUAAAUUCUAUUACACUCAUGCUAGAGUUUGGUCUUUAUUGUCUAUUUUUAACUAAUGAUUUCUUUUGAUAACCAACUAGUAAUAAGUUAAGGGAUAUUUUUUAUAUGAAAUAUUCUUCUUACUCUUGAAAUUAAUUUUUAGUAUUGACUUAUUUUAAAUUGGGCUAAUUUGUUUCAAAAUAUUUGUUUUAAGGGAGUUUAAUAAUAUUUUGAAAAUCUCAAGGAAGGGCAAUGUAACUAUCAUAAACCUCAGGGGAGUUUCUGAAAUUAUCCCUAGGGCUUAUAGAAAAUUGAGCGACUUUCCUUCCGUGCCCCUGAAAUUAAAACUUGCAUCACUCUACGGUCAUCAACUCUCAGCUAUUGACACAUUAAGUCCCUUAGCAGUCCAGCAUCGCAGUCUUUUUUUUUUUUUUUCUUUUUUUUUUUGACGAAUUAAUUAUCUCCAUCCUCCACUUGAGAUUCACCAAUUUAGUACACGAAAAAUACACCCACGUUACAACAUGCGAAACACGUAGACAUAACCACAUCUUUAUUACACCUUAUUUACACACUGACUUACUUGCAUUAUUAACACAUUUUCUAAUUACCAUUUUAUUCCAUAUACAUCAUAUCAAAAAAGUGUUAUAGUACUUUUUUCACAAAAUUAUCUCAAAUAAUUACAAUCCAAAUACACUUAUUUAUAUAUUAAUUUUUUAAAACAACAUUUGCUAUUAGAUGUAACAUAAUAAAUUUCUUCUUAAAGCAUGUAAAUCAGAAAAUGAUGAAAUUUAGACUAGUUUUUUUUUUUAAAAAAAAAUUACAAUGGAAGAGAAGUGGGAUUUAAGAAACGAGGAUGUGGUAAGGGGAUUUGAAGUCAAAAUCUCUAAUUCUUGAGACUUCAAAUAACAUAUUAUUUUUUAAUGACAAGGCAAAUCAUGUUGUGCUUUCAAUUUUAUGGUUGCAAUAUUAUGUUCAUAAUAUGCAAAUGUGAUCCAUUAUACCUUCCUACCACAAAAAAAAAAAAGAAGUUUUUUUUAUAGGAUUCUUUAGAUAACGUUGAAAUUUACAUCAGCAACUGGUAUGUAUAAACUUGAAUUUUCUGGAGAAUAAUAAUUAUAACUAUAAGUUUGUUAAACAAAAUUGAAAAUGAAAACUGGACAAAGGAAGUAUAUAAGUUUAGCGAGGCCGAUUUGGUCAUUGUAUUCUACAUUUCGCAAUAAAUUACACGAUACAUGCAGAGUAGUAAAGCAUCAUUUCUUCUCGUUUCUCGUAAAGUCUAAGUUGCAUGUGAUUGUUGAAUCCUUAAUAGUAAUGUUCAAGCAAAAUCUAUUGUGCAAAAAUAAAAGGAAUAUUUGCAAUAAUCAGAAUAUGUAUUCUACAAUAGUAAUUUUUCUAGAAUAUGUAAGUAUUUCCAAACUGCAUAUGCUACAAUACUUGUUCCACAUGUCUUUCGCAUCAAUGUCUUCAAUAUGUCCAAUAGAUUUAUGAAUAUAAAUAUAUAGUUAUCAAAUUUUAUUUUUUUUAAUUGAUAAUGUAUCAUUAUAUUUUUUACCAUCUCGUCUAGUUGCUGUUUUUCUUGUAGUAGCUGUGUUCUUUCUUCUUGGUCUAGUAUUUGAUUCACCAAUUGCCAAAGUAGAAGAUGGGAAUAAUCUUCACAUUUUCAUGCGCAGUUGUUCCCUUGCCAACUUGAAUUUGAGAAGCUUUUCAUUCAUUUUGAAUAUCUAAAAUGAAAGUCAAAUUCAAACAAAUUAAUUGUUAAAAUUUGUACGUGUUGUGAACUAAAUAAAAGGUAAGGUCAGACACGUUUGAUGGUCAAUUUGCACUUUGAAUUGCUGUAAAUACAAAAGCAUAAUUAUAAAUCAAGAAAGGGUAAUGUUAAUUGUUAUUGGUAGCUUAAAGUUUUGGGGGUUAGACGCAUAUAUAAAAUGUUAAUUCUUUUUCCAAAUAUAUAUUUUUUAAAAGCUUUACCAUGGAAGUAUUUUUUUUAAUAAAUUUCCGUAAUCCCAAACGGGUCAUAAGUGUGAUAAAUAUCAGAUAGAUAAGUGAUAACUAUAUAACUAUAUAAUGGGGUGUUUGGAUUGCCAAAUUUUGAAAGAAAAAUUGUUACGUUUUCCGUGAACAUAUUUUUCAAUCAUCUUUUUACCUCAUAUAUAUCAAAUCGUUACAGUAAUUUUUCUACAAAAAAUUCAGAAAAAUGCAAUCCAAACGAGGCUAUUAUUGUCAAAUACAUGUCAAGCUCUUAAGAAGAUUACAAUCCUUCUGGAAGACAUGGAUGUAGACACAUAUUAGUGGGAAGUUUUUAUCUAAACUAGAGAAGCAUUUUUGAACUUCAAAUCUUGAUCGCUUGUAUGGUAGACAUUUUGAAAAUUGGUUGGCGUAGAAGUGGGUUUUUGUGGGAGGAAGGACGCCGUCGAGUGUUGAAGGUUCGUUGGGUUGGUUUGAGCCCAAAACCAAAUUGGACAGAUCGAAAAAAAAAAAAAAAGGAAAGGAAAGAAUAUUCCAAACCUGUCCUGGAUAAGCCGUGUUCACAACGCGUGGUAAAAGUAUUCCAAACCUGUCCUGGAUAAGCCUUCUCCCCAGCACCGGUCCCCCACAUUCCUUCUCCCCUAAUCCAUCUCUAAUGGUCAAUUUCUCAUGAAAAUGGCUAAAAGCAACGUCCACGAUCUUUUGCUGCCUCAAGAGGCCUAAAUCAACGGGAACGGUGAAGGACCGGCCAGCACGUCCCCGACUUCUUCCUUACUAAAGUCAUCCAUUAUGCUACUACACUGUACAAUAAUUAUAAUUAUUCUUCUGCAGUUUCGUUUGUCCCCCGGUUCGCCCUCCUCCCUAGUGGAGGACCCAGCGCCCCACAUUCACCCUUUUAUCCUUCAUUUCUGCGUCAUCUUCAAUCUAAUCAACAAACAUUCCCAGGGACAACCUUGUAAUUUCAGCGUCCCACUCUGGCACUCUCGAAUUUUAUAUGGUGGCGUGACAACCUUGUAAUUACGUCAAAAAUUGAGACAUUAAAAUAAUAAAAACAUUUCUUUCCAAGGGGGAUGGGGACUGGGGAGGGGGUGUUAUCACACCCGAUUACGACCUAUAAAUAAAUGCGUCGGUCCCAAGGCCCAAGCCUCUCGUCAUUAAGGUUUCGUUCACAUUUCCCUCUCUCCGGUCUCCGUCCCUAAAAACCCCCCACAGAAAGGAAAAAAAAAAAAAAAAAACCAAUGGGUUCCCGGUACGAGGUUGAGGUCGCGAUUACCUCCGCUAAGGAUUUGAAGAACGUCAACUGGCGUCACGGUCCCCUCAAGCCUUACGCCGUCGUCUGGGUCGACCCUAAGGCCAAAUGCUCCACCCGGGUCGACGACGAGGGCGACACCUCUCCCUACUGGGAGGAAACCCUAGUCAUCCCUUUUGAUUCCCCCAUCGAGGACUCCACCCUCCAUAUCGACGUCGUCCACGCCAAGGCCGCCGAGGACACCAAGCCCCUCAUCGGUUCCACUCGUCUCCGUCUCAUCGACGUCGUCGAUGAGGCCGGCUUGGGCCGCCGGGUCGAGCGCAAGCUCGAGCUUAAGCGACCCUCCGGCCGUCCACAUGGCAAGUUGCAAGUCCAAGUCAGCGUGCGGGAGCCGCCGCGCUACCGUGCCCCCGACCCCUACUAUGCACCUCCGUAUGGGGUCCCACAACCGGGUUCCAGAGAUUAUGCGGCUCCCCACCCAUAUGGUAAUUCCCCCUAUGGGGCCCCACCAGCAAGCGCUUAUGCGGCGCCACCUGCAGGAUACCCCUACAGUGCACCACCGGCUGCUCCCCCUCCCUCCUACGGUCAGCCAAGUUACGGGCAGCCCAGUUACGGGCAGCCAGUUUAUGGGGAGGAGAAGAAGAAGAGUAAAUUUGGUGGGAUGGGGACGGGAUUGGCUGUGGGCGCGGUUGCAGGGGCUCUAGGUGGACUGGCAUUGGCCGAGGGUAUUGAUUAUGCUAAGGAUAAGAUCGCCGACGAUGCUGCUGAGAAGGUGGAGGAGGAUCUCGGCUACGAUGAUGAUGAUGGUGGUGACUGGUGAUGGCCGGAAUUUGAUCGAAUUGUUUCUGAAUCAAUAUACAUAUAUUUCAGAAAAAGGGGGUGGUGGCCCGGGGGCGGGGGGUGAUUUUUAGGCUGGCUUUGGGCCUUGAACUUACAUUUGACUUUGGUCUGGCAUUUUCAUGGCCUGACAUCCUUGUUAAUUGUCGUGAGCUUGCAAAAAUAAAGAGACAUAUUAUAUCGUUCUGUUUCAUUUGACCAAAAAAAAAAAGGUGUGUUCCGUUUCUGUUUACUAGUGUGAAUACCCGUGCUACGCACGGUACUAAUAUUAUUGAAAAAAAUAAAAUGAUAAACAAAUAAAGGUGAAAAAAUUGAACCAACAAAAUUUAAAUGUAAUAUCUAUUUAACAAUAGUUUAAAAUAUAAUAGAAUGUGUAUAUCAUUCAAGAACUGUCUUUUCUCGAAAGAUGGAUCCUGAAAAAAAAAUAAAAUCUAUAUUAAAAAAGGGAAUGAUAUAUUUCUACAAAUGAAUGUAAUUGAAUGUGGUUAAAAUGAAAUACUUACAAAUACUAAGCAUUCGAUUUGAUAAUCUUCCUUGAAGGUGCGAACACUCUUCACACCAAUCCACUUUUAGUACGAAAGCCAAAAUUGGUGAUUUAAUUAACUCUGUUGAAUUUUGUGGAGUGCGUACUACAAAUGAAAAUGCACGAUCUAUGCAUGAAUUAAUUCGUUGGCCGAAUAACCUAUCAUUAUUUUCCUGAUAAUUAACAACGUACGAAAUUAGUGUAUUUUUUUACAUAAUUUAUAAAUAGUACUAUAAAAAAUAAACAUAUAUUAAGAAAUUCUACCUUCCUUUGUAAUGCCCUGAGAUAAGAAGCAUCACAACCAAAUACAAAUCGUGCAUGUCUGUCUUGUAAAUUAAUAUGCAUAUUACCACUGGAAUCUCUGAUUUGUAUAUUAACGUUAUACCUGUUUGACAAAUAAAAUAUUAUAUGCAAUACAGAAAAAUAUAUUGAAGUUAAGUAUACAUGAAAUUAAUUACCUAAUAACAGUGGCAACCACGUCAUUACAAUGCAUACACACUGUCUUUGAAAAAUGAUCUUCACAUAGCUGAAUACCAUUUUCGUUCCUUGAAACCGUUUGUUCUGGCGAAUUAAGGCAACAAUAGCAUCCUAUUUUCUUCCCAAAACAUCCUAUUCGUAGUGAAUAAUAAUCUGUGUGGUUUGUUGUGAAAAUCUAGUUAUGAAAUUUACUUGAUAAUGUUCAGAAUUAGCUUCAUCUUCUUUGUUUUGGUGCUUCUGCACAAGAAUUUAGCCAUAUAUUUUAUGUUAUUGGAGUGAUCUUUUAAAUUCGGUGAAAAAAAUAGCAGUUGAUCAUAUGGUUCUGACUAAUGUGGCCCCGUGGAUCAAGUUUUUUAAGUCUGGACUGCGGAGGGAAAGGUAACUUUAUAGAUGAACUUGGUCUCCUGUGGAUGCCUGAUAGUCAGAUGAUCAGGCAUUUUUGAAAAGUGAUGGCUCUCUCUCUCUGUAUAUGUCCGCUUUUUGUCAGUGUGGAUAUUAAAUAAACGCGUACAGUCACUUAUUAUUCACAACGAAAAGCGUAUCUGCUGUCUAUACCGCACGAAAAAUUAAUACAUUUUUGGGUCUCUCUGUCUCAUGUUUAUUGUUGCCAAUACUAAUGUAUUAGGCUGUAUUUGAGAGUAGGCCAGGGGUGAUUAUUUGCUUAAAGGCGACUGGAUAGACCAUAUGUAUUAAAGAAUCGAAGUUUGGAAAUGUUCGUAACUUAAUAAAGAGUAUAGCCAAAAGGACACUAUUUUUGUACUCUUGCAGCAGGUAGCAGAAUAGAAUCACAAAGAAAGUACUGUUAAAGGUAAACAAAAACUUGGAAAUAAACAUGAAUUGGACUCAUAUAUGGUAGUAGAAAAUGUGGAAACACAGAACUGCGUUAGAGUUAAGACGGUACCCAGAUGAUAUAAAUCCAGGUAGUAUUAUUAGUCUUGCAAGAGCUCUGCAGUUUGGAGUUGGAUGGCUGCUGGUGAAACACCGUUGUUGUUUCCUCUCCUGAUAUACUAAAGAAGUCAAAUCUAUGUGCUUAAUGUCUAUCCCAUUAAUUGUCAAAUACCAUUAAUGUCUAUCCCAUUAAUUACGUUACAGUUAACAUAUUUGACCUUGUUAAAAGUUCUGAAAAAUUACAAAGUAAUUUCAUAAAUUCAUUUUCAGCAUCUGUUCUUUAUUUUCUUAUUAUUACGUUACAAUUGGCAUGCUGCUUAAUGUACUACAGAAGUCAAAUCUAUGUGCUUAAUGUCUAUCCCAUUAAUUGUCAAAUACCAUUAAUGUCUAUCCCAUUAAUUACCUUACAAUUAAUGGGAUAUAUGGCAAAUAAUGGGACAUUAAGUCUAUUCAAUUAAAUUAAAUGAUUAACUUUUUUUGUCCAACUUUACUUUGAAACGAAAUCUAUGUGCUAUCGAGGACUUCAUUUCCAAAAAAAAAAAAAAAACACCAUCUGCCUUUUAAGACUGUGCUAAUGCUUCCCGAUAUUGAAGAAUUCAGAACCUGGAAGAAAUGGCUAGUCAUUUUGUCAAUAGCAUCUGCAUUAGAACAGCCGACAGUUUCAAGCUGGAUUCAAGCAAACCAAAAGGGUGCAUUUCUAGAUCAGGUAUGCUCAUAAUUGUAACUACUCCUUUUGUACCAAUCUUAAUGCAAUAACUGCUACACUGGUAUCUGAAUUCUUUAGUCUCUUCUCAUCCUCUUCACGUAAGAGUUAUUGCUAUGCAAGAUGAAUUUCCAACGUUUCCUGAUGUUGACCAUUAAUGUCUAUCCCAUUAAUUAUGUUACAAUUAAUGGGACAUUAAGUCUAUUCAAUUAAAUCAAAUGAUUAACUUUUUUUUGUCCAACUUUACUUUGAAACAAAAUCUAUGUGCUAUCGAGCACUUCAUUUCCCAAAAAAAAAAAAAAAACACCAUCUGUCUUUUAAGACUGUUCUAAUGCUUGCCGAUAUUGAAAUUUAAGACUCUAGUUAUGAAAUUUACUUGAUAAUGUUCAGAAUUACCUUCAUCUUCUAUGUUUUGGUGCUUCUGCAGAAGAAUUUAGCCGUAUAUUUUAUGUUAUGGGAAGGGGGGGAUAUGGGGGCGUGGGCUACUGGGCUGUGGUGGGGGUUGGGGUUGCGGGGAUAUGGGGGGCGUGGGUUGUGCUUCUGCAUUUUUUAUUUUUCAAGUUAGAAGAAACUCUAUCCCUUGCAUAGGUAAAGAAAAGAGAAUUAAGAGAUGGAGUUCCAAAUAUAUUCUUUUAAUAAUUUCACGUACUUUUCAUCACUUUUUUUUUGUAAAAAAAAGGAUUUUAGGCAAUCAUGAUUUGGACUAAUUCUCAUUUCGCUCUUUGCAUUUUAAUUUUAACAUAUUUGACCUUGUUAAAAGUUCUGAAAAAUUCCAAAGCAAUAUCCGACCUGGAAAAGAAGGUUGAUUUCUAAUGAAGGUUGUGCACAUAAUAUCUUCCAUUACUGCUCACAAAAGAAACAAAAUCAAUACAUUUACAAAAUUAAUAGAAAACCAAAAACAAAUAAGAAACUAAGAGAGAGGGUGAGGGAAUUAACUCGAUAAGUUAAUUAAGUCAAUCAGUAUAAGGGUUGGGAAAAAAUUAUAGACAUAUUAUAUUAUUGGAAAUAAUCAAAAAUAAAAAAAUAUUACAAUAUUGGGACUAAUAUUUGGAAUUACAAUGGAAAUGCCAAUAUUUAAAGAAAACAUGAUACCAGAUUUUUUAAUUUGGUGCGAGCGACGUUUUAAUCGGUGUAGCCUGGAUUUUGUCCUUCGGAUUUUAUUUGAAAUUUAUUUUUCGUCAGCGCAAACUUGAUGAAGCUUUUCCAACUGGUGUGUGGAAUCGUUGCGGUGUAUGUUUCGUUUCCUAAGCAAAUGUUUCCUCCGUUGCAAUCUUGCGAGUUUGAAAUCUAGUUGUUGUUGAAAUGCUUGUAGGCGGGCAUAUUCCAUGGUGAGGAAACUUUAGAUGGGUUCCCUACAAAUUUUGAGUGGAAAAUUUUAAUAUGUUAAAUAAUAGGACAACUUGAAUUUGGGAUAGCAGAUAAGUGGGGCAAAGUUAAAAAAACACAAUAAUACUAAUCAAUACCUAAAUGAGCAGGGUCACUUACUGAAAGGUAGUCACCGCCGGCUUCUUGACGUCUGCCAAAGGUUCAAGAAAAAAAGUAUGAUGCGUACUAAGAAGAGCACCGGAGUUGUGGUACCAAAGCUGCAUCAGUUUUCAUUGGUCAAAAAGGGCGUAAGUUAAUAGUAUUUUCCAAUGGCUAAAAGAUUGCAAAAUUCUAACAUACACAAACAAUAUUUAUGAUGUAAAACAGAAACUUCUAAUUCCAAUAAGCCCAAAAAAAGUCAUACUAAAACAUUAACAAAUAAAGAAAUCCAAAAAAAGGAAUAGGCAGAUACAUUUGGAGACGGCACCAAGAUGGACUCAAAUAUCGAUGAAGAGGAUGAAGCAGAGGACUCCUUGGACCCAAAAAGAUCAGAAGUGAAUGAAGAAGAAGAACCAGAUUGCUUUCUUUUGUGAGAAGUGUAUGAUCGCUCCUAGGUAGUUAAUGGCGGAAAUGUACAUAUACUAAAACGUGGUAUGAUGAUAGUGGGAAACGUGGGAGGAAAUAUAGGAGUGGUUAUAGGGUGAAUUAAGAGAUAGUGGGAAUUUUUGAACUUUAAAUUUGAUUGGUGAUAAGGUGGUUAUUAUUCACUACAUUUUAUGUAUUAAAAUAAAUACAAAAAUCUAGAAAAAAGAAUGGGAAGUUUAGAAGUCAUUGAAAGGGUUUCUGCUAAAAACCCCUUCUCAAAUUUAUAUAGAUAUAGAUUGGGCAGUCUUUUUGAGAACUUCCCGAACAAAAAGUCCGCCCAAGUAUUGUGAAACUCAGGCCCAAAAAAGAAAAGAGUAUAAAGGAAAGUAAACGAAAACAAUAACGAUCAGCCCAAAGCGUUCUAGUUUUCAAAAUGACAUUAAGGAAGGAAGAAAAGAAGUAUAAUGAAUCAAGAUGGCAAGCAAUACACUAGUAUGAAGUCAGUGAUGUUUUCAAUUACAAGCAAAAUUGAGUGAGAAAUACUUUUUUGAAUCGAGUUGAGUUGUAACGGAAAUUGGCACUCCUUAAGAUAUAUGUCAAGUGUCAUAUUUUAUUAGAAAAUGUAAACAAAUACAAAAGAUGGUAGUUAAAGUUAAAUAGAAAAAGUAUAUAAAUAGAAUAAAAGAUAAUAAUUGUUAGUAUGUAUAUAUACGUGACAGAUUAGAUUAAUUAUAUAUGUGUUAAUAAAUUGUAAAUGUGUUAACGAGUGUUUAAUUGCAUUUGUAAUAAUUUUUUCAUUUGAAUGAGAUACCAAGUAAAAGCCGAAUCAAGAAAUUCCUAAUUAUCUGUAAGUAUGACCGAAUUACUCUGUAUAAUCUGCUCUAAUCUAGUUUAAGGAAAGAGGGAGCCGAGGCGAUUUUUCGUUGAAGGAAAUCACAAUUAAGUGACAGCCACAAUUAAAUGGCAAGGUUGGAGGUCAAGGGUUCAACUGUCUGAUGGUACUAACAGCCCUUGACCUCCCACUCCCACCAAGACCGGCGAUACUAACAGCUUAAGAGGCUGUUGGCAUAACCUUUAUCGUCCAUUGUAUGAUCAACACACACAAACUCAUAUAUUUGCUAUUAAACAAUUCAUUCCAAAUCCCCGUUAACCCAACUGGUGAUAAAUCUCAUUCGCUUAAGACGAAAUUUUUAUUAUCAUGAAUGCCAUUAUCUUCAAACAAUUCUUCAAUAACGAUGAAACCCGCAUCAUUGGGAUAUAAAACAAACCUAACCAAAACUUGACUCUUAUUAAACUUCAAGAAAUUGACUAGGAAACUGAAAUGCUUGGCUUAUUUUCCAGCAUUAUUAAGAGGAAAAAGAAAAUCACAUGUCCGUGAACAGAUGUAUUUGUCUUGAAACUCCAUCAAUCAUAUGCAUUACAUGCUGGCUAAUUGGAGUGGAAAAAAGUUUUCGAGACUUCCACGCUGCCAGUCCCAAAUUAGUUCCCCCCGCCCCCAAAUUUUUUUUAAAAUUAAAAAGCCAAAUUUCAAGUUGUAAUAAGUACACAUUGGUCAUAACAUUCAUAUUUACUUGUCAUGAAAGUUGGAACGCCGUGUGGUUAAAGAAUUUAGAGGUCCGUUAAGAACACUUGAGAGAACUUUUGAACGGCUCUGAAUCUUGUCAUCCUUGAUUGAGUAGAAGUUUCAUUAGUUUCCUCUGAGACUUAAAGGAACAAGCAAGCAUGCAUCCCUUGCAAUUCAAGGCUUCCGAAAUUGCCGUUGUUUGCAAGCAAAAACAUCCUCUACAUAGUACAUAUACGGGCUAGCUUCAAAUGGUUUUUUCCGGUUUCUCCUUGGCCAAAUCAGAAGUGAGCUUUGGUAGGUGGAAAUGUUCAUCUCCAGGCAUUAUAAACUUUGCCUGUCAAAAUUCUCUACUACUAAAUUUUUUUCUUAACUGUCUUCUGCCUCCUAGCGAAUCAUAGUACAUCUUGUUUAUUAAUAUCAAAUUUAGGUUUAUUAUUCCUUCCUUUACUCCCUUGUCACGAAAUUCUUUUCACCAAAGUUGGAGGAACGUCCUUUCCUUUCAAGCCUUCUUUUAAUGCUUUUUGCAGGGAAUAUCAAGAACCGUGAUCCACAAAGCAGGAUGCCGAUCAGAAUCUGUCGAGGCAUAAAACAGCUGUUCACGCGCACUGGUACGGUUUUUUUUUUUUUUUCUUAUUUUUCCCCUCUCUUUCUCUUUUUCUUUUUUUUUAAAAAAAAUUUAUCUUAAGAAAUUACAACUUAUUCUAAUCUUACCGUCUAUGAAACAAAAAAAAUUGUUAAUGACUAUUAGCCUAGGCUAAAAGUAGUCGAGUAAUCACUUAGUAAAACUUUUAAUAUUAACUUUAAAAAUCUCUUGUCAAUACUAUAAUCUGCUAGGAAACUAAAGAGAAAAAAAAAGAAAUGAUUGGGUGCAUAGAUUUUUCCUUUCCUUUUUUGGGUGCAUUAUUUGAUUAAUAAACAAAGGAAAUGAAUGUAUAAAAUCCAGAACCUACAAAGACUAUAUGUAAUGUAUGGGGGUGAAAAAAAGAACCUAGUAUUUUGGCCAGGAAAUAGGACCAUUAGUGUCGAAAAUGUGAAUAGGGAAGAAAAGAGCCUAAUUUCUUUUUUAAAAAAUAAUAAUUAAAAAAAGAAGCAAUUACCGAAACACCAAUAGGUGGGUGGCACAGAAAUUGCUCAGGCCCACUCUUGAGUUGGGAGUGUGGAGCUUGAAGGCAACGGAUCAUGAUUCAUGACACAUUAUUAUUACUGUGAUCGGCCCCGCUACUAGCGGAAUUUAAAGUGCCAACUCCCCCACCGUGGACUGUAAUGUCCUUUCAGAUGGAGAAGGAGAACUUCGACAGUAAAUCCUUUUUGGCGACCGGUUUAGUUACGACUGAGUUUAUUACUCUUUUUACUUUUUCGUCUUCCUCUUCCACCCAUAGGCAUGCCACUGAAAACAAGUGGGCAAUGCAAAAUAUUUUUUUUGUGAAUUAUAUCUUUCACGACGACGACGACAGUCGCCUUUAACAUUUUAAGAAUUGCCGACUUAAAAUCCUUAAAACCCAAAUCAACAGAGAUUUCUAGCUAAUCAUGGGAUUUUGGGGAAAUGCAAGCAGUGAAAAGGAAAGAAGAAAAGUUGGUUGGUUUUUCACCAAAAAGAAAUCAAACAUUAUUGGCUUUCAAGAAUGUAGGAAAUUGAUGCAGGGACUGGAAUGGAAGGCCCGAACGUUUCGGAGUUGGAUCUCCGGGAGGAAUACGCAAUGCUUUCCGGACCGAGUCAUACAAUGAGUUUUGGGAACGGGUCCUCGCACUGGGCCAAGGAAACUCUGUGGCCCAUUCAACCUUGGGGUCCACCACGGCUUCUCGACUCCCAUCUUACCGGCUCUUCGUCGACCAUCUCCUGGAUCCUGAUCAACCCACUGUCACCCGGAUUCUAGACUUGACCCGUACCCACGACCCACAAAGCCAAGCUCUUCUCUCCGAUUACUUCUUCGAGACGGCUAAUGCUUCCUUCUUGUGCAGUCAUUUGCUCAGAGACGUGGAUCAAACACGUAUCAAAUACAAAUCCUUGAAAAAAACACUCGAUACCCUUCCAAUUGUUCAAAUCUCACCUAUUAUUCCUUUAUCCGUGUCAUCCGACCGACUACUGGAAUUCUUAAAAUCGGUUAAUCCAUUCGUACCAUCCGCUUCGUCUCCCGAUCGUAUUCAGAUGGUUCAAACCCAUUGUUCCGACUUACUGAAACGGCUCGAGUCGAGUCGUGACAAGGCUCGAGUCAAACUCCAUCUAAUCGCUAAACUCGAACGCGGCUCGGCGGUGUUUCUCGUGGUUCUAACGGCUUCACUGACCAUAAUUGCUGCAGCGCAUGCUUUGGCUUUGCUGGUGGCCGCCCCGUGCUUGAUAGCAACUUCGCUGGAGCUGGUUUCGGCAAAGAAGCUGGCUAGAGGGUCGGCUCAGCUGGAUGCGGCCGCAAAGGGGACUUACAUAGUGAUGAGGGACUUGGACACGAUAAGUCGGCUGGUGGGUCGGCUAAGUGAUGAGCUGGAUCACAUGCAUUCUGUAGUCCGGUUCUCGCUGGAAAGAGGAGACGAUCGGCUUCAAGCCAGUGGGGAAGUGGCGCGCCAGCUGAAAUUGAAUGGCAUGAUCAGCUUUACCGAUCAGCUCGACGAGUUAGAGGAGCAUUUGUACUUGUGUUUCAUGACCAUUAAUAGAGCCAGAAACCUGGUGUUGAAAGAAAUUCUGGAUCCAGACCACGCCUCCGUCUCCAAUUCCGCCCCCGUCUCCAAUUUAUUGCCUAGACUAAAUAAUUCACUUUAAUAAAUAUUUUGCAUGUACUAGAACUAGUAGUAUAUAUUUUCAGAUACUCAACAUGCAGAUAUUGCAAAAUAAAUAAUUUCCUUUUCACAAACUUAUUAUUUCUGGGAUAUUGAGGAACACAUAAUACCCAAUGCGGUCCGAAAACAAAGGUAUGUCCCGCACAUGUCCAAAAUUUCUCUUCUUUCUUGAUUUGUUAAUUAUAUUAUGAUUUAUAUGCUCGUGUCUACAUGAAUUUCCUAUGAUAUCCUCCCGGUUUUGGUCCCAAAGAAUUUGGAUUAGCUAGUACACUUUUGUUUCGCCACUGUAGCAUAAACCUAACCUAAUUGGUUACAAAGCAACCAACCAUAUAUCAGUAUUGAGUAGAAGACUAAGAUGAAACGAAAAUGAGGAGUCAACCAGUAAAAAGAGUUAAAAAGGGGUGCAAUUUCAUCGUGGUAAAAAUUAAUUAGUUAAUGCAAAAAAAGAAAAAAAGGAUUUUGCCCACUUUGCCCACCCGACCCCCUCUGGUUUUAUUUCAUGGAAAAUGGGUUGAAAUAGGGCAAAGCAUUGGCAGAUGUAGCUGGUCCUGCCUCAGCAGGGAUUUUGUUUGACCUUAAUCCCAGGGAAGCGGUGUGUGUAUUGUGUACUCUGUAGUUACUGCUUAAAAAGUAUACGUGGCAGUAAAUAAUGCCGGCAGAUUUUUGCUUUCGUAAUAACUCGAUUCCUGUCAUCUAAGCCACUAUGCUCUAAGCAUAUUUAUGGAUGAUGAGAGGAUUUUUGACUCUUCUUUGAGUGUCUUGGUACACUUUGUAUGGUUAGUUGAGCAGUUGCUCAAAUAUUGUACAGUUUUAUUAUCUAUAAAAAGUCAUCUAUCGUUUCUGGAAAAAAAAAAAAUAACUCGAUUCCUGUCAUCACCACAUGUCACAGCAAUACCACAAGUCCCCUAUAAAAAUUCUUACAAAUCGUUCAUUAAUACAUAAUUUAUAUCAGUAAUAAAAUUUGAACAUACGAUCUUUUAUGAGAAAAUGAUCCGUUCUUAUUAAUUGAAUUAACUUAUAUUGGUAAUGCCCGCAGGUGAUUGAAUCAUGAGAAAGGGAGGUUGAAUUCAUAUUUUGUUGAAGGUGACCUUUAACCAAUAACCAGUCUUCCGUUUGGAUUGUCAUUUUUCAUUAAAAUAAAGGAUUAAUCUUUUCUGUACUGACAGUAUAUACACCGUGAGUAUUGGAUGAAUGACAAACAUGCGAAAUUUGAAUUUAAAAUUUAACUUUUGUGUACAUUUCAUGAAUUAAUAGUAAUAAUAUAUACACUGUCAGUAUAUAUAAGAUUUACUCAAAAAAAAAUUAGAAUAUUCUCCUUACACAUAUUUCAAUUAUCGUUUCAUUUCAUUACGCUGCAUUGUUAUUUUUUACAAAAAUUCUAAAAAUUAGCAAUCUAAACAGAUCCUACCCAAGCCUUGACGGUGCCACACUACUUAAUUAAUAUACUCAUUAUUGCAUGUUGCAGCAACAUUUAUUCGUUCUGCGGACUGCCUAUCUGUAUGCGUUACUUUCCACACCACCUUUGGCCUUGUCCUUUAAUGGUCAACUAUCUUUAUGGUCUGACAUUUAAUUUUUCUUCUUUAUGAUCUUUUUAGAAAAGCCAAAAUUUUCUCAGUAAUUGGUAGCCUCUUUGGUUGCUUAAAACUUUUUACAUCCCAGCCCGACCUCCUAGCCACUAAUAUCUUUUGAUUGUGAAUUACACUACUGUUAUCCUUUAAUGGCCAACAUUCUUGUUGGGACUUUUCUUGUUGGGACUUGGGUCAACAAAAUGCUUGGAUUCUUUUCAAAGUCUUAAAAACUUUUGACCCUAAUGACUUGUUUGGAAGUUAAGUUUUUUAUCAAGUUUAUCUGUUAUAAAUUUUUUAAAAAUUUUAGUUAUAGUAACCUCAAAAAAUUUUUUAUAAAAUACAAAAAAUUUUUACAAUAAAUUAAAGUAAAGUUUUAGACAAACAUCCAAAAAACUUACCUUCCAAACGGGGAGUUAGCAAAAUCUGUCUACUCUGCUUGGAAAGUUUUGAAGCUAGGAUCCUUGCGAGGCUAAAAUCUCCUGCAAAUUUGUUUGGAAAGCAAUUAUUCAAAUGCUACAUUUUCUGUGAUUAUAUUUUUUAAUUUAUAUAGAUUAAAUCGUUAUAAUAAUUUUUUUUAUAAAAAUUUCAGAAAAAUGCAAUCCAAACAUCAACCAAAUUUUUAUAAACUGAUUUCAUGUCCGCCCUUUUGUCUAAGAAGCAAUUUCAUGAGUGUCGAACCAAAAGGAGGGGGUUAAAAAAAAUGAGAUCAAGUUUCUUUGGUUGGUAAACCCGUCUGAAGGUGUUUGUUCGAUUUAAAUGAGAUCAAGUUUCUUUGGUUGGUAAACCCGUCUGAAGUUGUUUGUUCAAUCGAAGUAUGACUAGUUAUAGUAAAUUGCAUGGUGAUUAAUGAGAGGAAGUUGGGAACAGGCGAUAAGAUGUACUGUGGAUAGUACUAUAUCAUUUGCUUCCCCCGGUAGGCUUGUUAAAUUUAGUACCUCACUAAGCAGAAAUACAGCAAAAAUGGGUGAGAACCAGCAUUUGCCUAUGCCUCCCUCAACUUCCACCGAAAGGAACAAAGCAGAAGGGGAACAAUUAAUGGGUCACAACCAUACCCAUCAAAGUCAUAAAUGCAUCCCAACCACACCACUCGUCCAAGUCUAUCUAUUCAGUGUAUAUAUAUGUUCCCUUUGCCACAUUUUAUACGAGCAAGAGAAGGAAAAUCUUUAACACCUGCAAGUUUUCUGAGGUUUUCCUUAGCGAUCAACAACAAUGGCAGGUGAACUUUCGAAGGACGAGCAACAUAGUCCCUUAGGAAAUGUCAAAAUCCUGAGCGCUAGCUACGUCAAGCCUAGAAAAGCACUAGGAAGGAAGGAGUGCCAGUUGGUCACGUUUGAUCUCCCAUACUUGGCCUUCUACUACAACCAGAAGUUGUUGAUCUAUAAAUUGGGGGAUGGUGAAUUUGACAAGGCAGUGGAAGAAUUGAAAGAAAGCUUGAGCCUGGUGCUGGAGGACUUCUACCAACUGGCGGGAAAGUUGGGUAAAGAUGAGGAAGGAGUGUUCGGGGUGGAGUAUGAUGAUGAUAUGAAUGGUGUGGAGGUGGUGGUGGCGGAGGCACCGGAGACGGCUGUGGCUGAUCUGACCGAUGAAGAGGGCACCCUCAAGUUUAAGGAGCUGUUGCCUUACAGCAACAUCCUCAACUUGGAGGGGCUUCACCGGCCACUUUUGUCCCUGCAGGUUACGUUACCUAAUUACCUCCAUACUACUUAAAUGCUUCUUAAUAAUAGUAAUAAUCUCAUGCUGUCUCACCAACUUUAAUAUGCAUGUUACAUCAACCAUUCAUUUUAUAAAAGGGGGAAAAAAUUCAGCAGUUUGGGUUAAUGUUCUCCAGUAUUGGUUUGAAGAAAUGCUAAUGCCGAAACUGAAUUUCCCAAUCCAUAUUUUAUGAUUCGCACGUCACAGCAUAAGGAAAUCGCAUGCGCCAUUUUCACUUGUUUUUUACGACGAGUGCUUGAUAACCUUCAUUCUCACACCUCUUCUUCCGUGGAAGAUUUAAGCCUUGUUUGGAUUAUUGUCAUUUUUUUUUUCCAAAAUUUUUAUAUUUAUAUUUAACAUAUUUUUUUUAAUUAUCUUUUUAUCCCGCAUUUUUUCAUUUAUUUUUAGUUAAUUCGAUACGUCUUUAGUUACAUGGUUCACAAAACAACUUCUUAGUCUUGACCAAAUACAACCAAUGGCAAGUAUUAUACUAUAUCUCCAUCAAGCAUCAAGAUAUGUGGACCAAGGUUCGAAACUUCAAUGAGUCGAUAAAUUUUGCGACUUAACAAUUAGUUGUUGCUUGUUGAUUUCCUUCAACCAAACAAAAAAAGAAAAAGAAAAAGUUGUUAUUGGUUGAUUAUGUGUAACAGCUGACCAAGCUCAAGGACGGACUAUCCAUGGGCUGCGCUUUCAAUCAUGCAGUACUGGACGGUACCUCCACAUGGCAUUUCAUGAGCUCCUGGGCCCAAAUCUCCAGCGGAGAGAACUCCAUCUCUGUCCCACCCUUCCUGGACCGCCCCAAGGCCCGUAACACCAGAGUGAAGCUUAACCUCUCCAAUCCUUCCGACGCACCAGAGCACGCCAAGUCAGCGCCCAACGGUAACGUCAACGAAGUUAAGCCCGGCCCACGACUCAGAGAAAAAGUCUUCAGGUUCUCCGCCACAGCCAUUGAUCAGAUCAAGGCCAAGGUCAAUGCCAAUGCCAACGGAUCCGACGGCUCAAAACCAUUCUCCACAUUCCAGUCUCUUUCCACGCACGUGUGGCAUGCUGUCACGCGUGCCCGCCAACUCAAGCCCGAGGAUAUCACCGUCUUCACAGUCUUCGUGGACUGCCGGAAAAGGGUGGACCCUCCUAUGCCGGAGAGCUACUUCGGGAACCUCAUUCAGGCCAUCUUCACCGGGACGGCGGCGGGGUUGUUGCUGGCGAAUCCACCCGAGUUUGGGGCUGCUCUAAUACAAAAGGCCAUCGAGAAUCACAACUCCGAAGCCAUCGAUGCGCGCAACAAGGAGUGGGAGAGCAACCCCAAGAUAUUCGAGUUCAAAGAUGCCGGAGCGAACUGCGUCGCCGUGGGAAGCUCCCCACGCUUUAAGGUUUACGACGUGGAUUUUGGGUUUGGAAGGCCGGAGACGGUGAGGAGCGGAUGCAACAACAGGUUUGAUGGGAUGGUGUAUCUGUAUCCGGGAAAGAGUGGAGGUACAAGCAUUGAUGUGGAGAUCAGCUUGGAGGGCAGUGCCCUGGAGAGGCUGGAGAAGGAUAAGGAUUUCCUCUUAGACUUUUAGAGGCUUGAAUAUUUAUUUGGUUGUGCAAACUUAGACUAGAAGUUUGUGUAAUUUGAUGAUGGAUUGGGAAAAGGUUAAAAAAAAAAGAAAGAAAAAAGGCUGCAGGUCUCCUGUUAAGUACCCUCAAGCCUUGUUUCCCUGGAUUGUUUUGCGAUUUUAUGAGAAUGGUUUUGGGAUUAUAUAAUUUGCUUGUGCUAGAUGUUAAGAUCCAUCUUCAUGUUUUUACAUACGGAGGAGAAUUUCUGAAUUGUUGCUUUCAAGUUUUAAUCAUAUGAGUGUGUUUGGAUAGUAAAUUAUUACAUUUUAUUUACAUCGUAUUUACACACACUAACGUGCUUGCAUCAUCAAUAUAUUUUUCAAUUACCUUUUGAUCUCACGUACGUUAUAUAAAAAAAAAUGCUACAGUUUUUUUUUUUUACAAAAUUAUUUCAAUUAAUUUACAAUCCAAACAAUAAUAAUAUCAUCGUGAAUUUUUUUUUUCCAAAAAAUAAUUAAAAAAAAUCAUCGUGACCGUUGCCAAAGAACUUGAGAUUAUGAAACGACUGGCUAUACAAUUAGGAAAGAAACAUACGCCAUCUACGCUUUGAAUGAGAGGGGCGGGCAACCAUAACAUACGCCAUCUAAGCACUGGCUUCUCAAAGUGAGACUGGGAAAGGCUGCAAUGGGGAUUGUGUCUUUGCUUGAUUAAGAACACAUCCAUGAAAAGAGAGAAGAGCCGCUCUAGUCUCCGGAAACUACUCGCCUGAUUAAAAGUGAUUGGCAAUUUUCACUCCCACUGAGAAAAAGCUGUACGUUAAUAAUUCACAAUCCUUUUUAUCCCAUCCCUGCCAUGUACACCAAGAUAUUUUUUACCGUCCACUUUCCUAUUGUGAAGUAUACAUGUUAAAUGUUUCUAAUUUAAUCGAAAACUUCACGUACGUCCAGAAAUUAGACUAUGUUUUGAGUUUGAUGUUAUGGUGAAUUUAUUCAGUUUAUAGACUAAUCACCAAAUAAAGAUAACAAAUGCUAUGAAAUACAUUCAAUUGCAAAAACUGACAAAGAGAAUAGGGGUGGAUUCACUUGGACUAACCACUUCACACUAAAUAACAAAUGUCAUAAAAUACAUUUAAUCCAGAAAAACUAAAUAAGGGAAUAGGAGUCAAUUAACUAAUCUAACCAACAAAACUGCAGUUGCAUAGUCUCAGGUAUCUCUCUCAGGCUUCCCAGGAGAAGGUAUGGCU
Molecule: long non-coding RNA, 37648 nt
Filed under: Coffea arabica (coffee)
Lineage: Eukaryota; Viridiplantae; Streptophyta; Magnoliopsida; Gentianales; Rubiaceae
Description: long non-coding RNA (CARA_LNC001470)
Source: RNAcentral